Non-coding RNA from Coffea arabica (coffee), 4736 nucleotides. Lineage: Eukaryota; Viridiplantae; Streptophyta; Magnoliopsida; Gentianales; Rubiaceae. The record is from RefSeq and is a predicted model, not a curated record.
CCCAUUCAUCCAUCCCAGUAAAAAUCGUCAAAACCCUCUUCAAAACCCCUUCAGUCCCCUCCGCUCGCGCUCAGAGAGGACAAAACUAUGUCGUAUAUACCUUCUUAUUUCCUAGUUAAUUUUUGAGCGACUUCAGCAAUUUCCGGAACAAUAAACUUUUGCAGUAAAAUAGAUUCGACUAAUCUUUUAUCUGCACUAUUAAUUCCUUUUUUUUAUUUUGCUUGCAAUAGAAUUUUCUUUUUCAUACUUUUCCAAGUAAAUGGCAACGAGGGUUGUUCUCAGAUUGAUCAAAGAAGCUGUUUCCAGCAAUGGUAGAAGCAAGCCAAACUUUGAUUUUGCUAAGCGACGUCGUUUCUGCACCUCCACUCCUCCUCCACCUCCACCACCACCGCCGGCUCGUAAAAUCCCUUAUUCUUCCAAAAAAGGGAGAUUAUUUACUGGAGCUACUAUUGCUCUACUUAUUGGUGGAGGUGCCUAUGCGAGUACAGUGGACGAAGCUACUUUCUGGUACUAAAUUUCUGUUUCCUAAAGUUGACUCAAAACUUUUCAGUAAAUGAGUGCAUGAAUAAUUUCAGUGAAGUGCUCAAAGACAAUGACCUUUUAUUCCUGAGAAUAGGUUGCUGGUACUUUGUUUAUGUGAUUGUAGUUCAUUAAUAGGUCUGAUGCAGUAGUAUUAGCGGCUAUUACGUUAAUAAAUGCGGGAGCAUGCUGGAUACUUUAGAAGUACGAGUUCACUUCUUCAGUCUUCUUAGAAGAUUGUAGUAUUUGGAAAUUGGUUAGGGAUUCAGUUUUGAAAAGUUUGCAAGCUAUUACUAAUCUUGUUUUGGAUCAAAGCCCACAAAUGUGGUGAAGUUAUUAUGUCACUAUCUAGAUAAUGCUUGUAACAUAAUUGGCUCUAUGUAGUAUGGCAUGUGACACGUGUCCAAAAGCAGUUUUCUGAUGGCAUCUUUGUAUGCCCCUAGAAUUGAGUUAUUUUAUGCAAUUACUCAUUUUGUCUGAAUUUAAUCUCUUUGGGGUGCCAUUUUGGCCAAAUUGAAGUAAGACCAAUGGUAUGCCAAGUGCUAAUAAAAAGUAUAAAUCAAUAGAUUUUUGGCUUUUCUAGGAAAUCCAAGCUGAAAGCAUUUAGUUACUAUUUCGAGUGUUGGCACUUUGUAGUUUGUUAGACUUUAUUUAUGGUAGGACCUCGAGAAAGAGUUUUUCUGCAUGGUACUGUGGUUCCAAGAACAGGCUAGAUCUUUCAACUUUAAGGGAAUUAGUGUAAGAAUAUUUCAACUUUCCUUGUAAAGGUUUGGAUUGUGAAGAAGGAAUGCAUCAAAAUUCAUGGUUUUAACUUCCAACACCAAGUGUGGCAGUUGGCAUCCAUCUGGUGUCACUUGUCACUGCCAAACAUAAUAAGACAUAACGGUGUCCGAUAUGCUAUUUUAAUUGAACCUCUCCAUAUGGUGUUUUUCUUCUAUCCAUAUAUAAAAAAGUCAGAGCAGUUUUUAUAAGGACAUGAUAACUUCAUUAGUUCCCAGAAAUGGCUUUCUUGCACCACCAACAUGUAGCUUCAACUGCAUAUUCAUUCGCGAGAAGUCCUUUCGCUUGUAGCAUAUGCAUGAUGAUUCAAGUGAUUGUAAGCUAGUUUCCCCAUACUCUUGUCGGGUUUUGCCAUUGCCCAUAUAUGCUAUUGCUUCGGUGUUGGAAAUGAGAGAUGGGAAGGAUGCAGGUGUGAAAGGGUGCUCUUUUCGCUUGAUGGUUCAUUGUGAAGAGGAGAUAGACCUUGAUUCUUAUAGUUCAGGUUGUAAGAUUUGAUGCUUUAUUGAUGUCAAUUAACCUGCGGCUGCUUCAUUCAGGUAUAAAACGGAAAUGAUAUCAGUUUUCAAUGAUCCUUCUAAUUCUCAUGAUUCUUUUCACUCUAAGGAGCAUAAAGAGAACAAAAGAGAAAGGAAAAUGAAGUUAGACUUAUUAACUUAGGUAUUAAUUAAACAAUCAUUGUAUUAAUGCAUUUCUCAUAGACUUUUGAGAUCUACUGAAAUCCUCUUCCCCUUUCUGUAUCAAGAGUCAAAGGAAGAGACAAAGGGGCAAUUACAGAUUAUCUUUAGCUGAAAGCAUGUGAAAUAUAUCCAAUUUGAGUAGUAAACUAAAGAGAUUUUUUCUGGUACUUAUGUCAUCUGACCCAGACAAAGGAAUGAAGGCCUACUUGUGGAUCAACAGUCUUUUCAGAAAUUCUUUUGUGCUUUUACUAUACAUAUCAUUGUAAGACAAAUCAUCUUGUUAUGGUUGACUGUGGAAUAGUUGGAGCUAAUAUAAAAUCAUUAACAUCAAAUUUGGGCUCAUUUCUAAUUUUCUGUUUUAGUUUUACUUUAGGCAUCUCCGGGUUUGAAUCUUCUGGAGCCUUUCGUCGAGAUGGCUUCAAUAGGUUUGAACCUAGAAUCUUAUGUAGGGGUGGGGCAAAAAUACCCGUUGACCUGAAAAUCCGAGCAAUCCGAUCCGUCCCGCACUGAAAAUUAGGAUAUCCGAUCCGAUUUCUAUUAGCGGAGCAGAUGAGGGUCGGGUACCCGUAAAAUUCGGAUACGGAUAUGGGUUACAAAAAUAAAAACCUGCAGGUACCCGACCUGGGGGUAUAUUAUAUAAAUAUUAAAAAAUAUAGGGGCAAUUUUAUAAUUUCCUUAAAUUAUUAACCCUAAAGACCUAAAUAUUAUCGACGUUCAGCUUUCACUUUUGAAGUUUCUCUCUAUCUUCAGUCUUCAGCCGAAUAUCUCCUCUUCUUCUCUUCAAUUUUCACCACAACAAUUCCAAAUUUCUCUUCAAUUUUCACCACUUCAUGCUACAAAUAUACGAUUGUCUUAGAAUCAUGAGAGAAUCACAACCCAUUUCUGAUUUGCUGGUGCUCCUCAAAGCAAGCCUCAAGCAGAAGCUGCAGAACGCCGGAACGUCAAUGCAAACUCUCAACCUUUGGCUGGCUUUUCUCUGCAACAAAACUUGUAAAUCCAUUUUUUGCCUUCCUGGACCCAGAGGUUGCCCACAGACUAGCUGUCUCGGCCGCGGCUCGUGGAUGGGUUCCAAGGGAGAAAAGGCCAGAUCCAUCCAUAUUGGGCCAAGAAGUGUGGGGGAAGCGAUUCUCCAAUCCUAUUGGUCUCUCUGCUGGUUUUGACAAGAAUGCUGAGGCUGUUGAAGGUUUACUUGGACUUGGUUUUGGUUUUGUGGAGGUUGGCUCUGUAACUCCUGUUCCCCAGGAAGGCAAUCCUAAGCCUCGUAUAUUCAGAUUGCCUAAGGAAGGUGCAAUUAUUAAUAGGUGUGGCUUUAAUAGCGAGGGAAUUGUUGCUGUUGCGAAGAGAUUGGGAGCUCAGCAUGGGAAGAGGAAAUUGGAAACAUCAAACACUUCAUCUUCUACUGAAGAUGAUGUAAACCAUGGAGGCAAAGCUGGUCCUGGAAUUCUUGGGGUCAACAUUGGAAAGAAUAAGACCAGUGAAGAUGCUGCGGCAGAUUACGUUCAAGGUGUCCAUACAUUGUCCCAGUAUGCUGAUUACUUGGUGAUUAAUAUAUCAUCCCCAAACACUCCUGGACUCCGCCAACUGCAGGGAAGGAAACAGUUGAAGGACCUUGUUAAGAAGGUUCAAGCUGCUCGUGAUGAAAUGCAAUGGGGUGAGGAAGGGCCACCCCCAUUGCUAGUGAAAAUUGCACCAGAUCUUUCCAGACAAGAUCUAGAAGAUAUUGCAGCGGUUGCUCUUGCUCUCCGCUUGGAUGGAUUGAUUAUAUCAAAUACAACAGUUCAAAGACCUGAUCCUGUGAAUAAGAACCCUGUGGCACAAGAAUCCGGUGGCUUGAGCGGGAAACCACUCUUUAACUUAUCCACUAAUAUCCUGAAGGAGAUGUAUAUUCUAACAAAGGUGCCCAAUUGAUGUACUUCGUUUGAUGCAAUGAAAUAUUUUGUGAAGUACUUUUACUUAGACCCUCAAUCACGUUAGCAAAUUGACUUCUGCACUAUCUCGGUUAUCAUGAAUCUGGUACCAGGGGAAGAUUCCUUUAAUUGGCUGUGGAGGGAUUGGCAGUGGUGAGGAUGCAUAUGAGAAAAUUCGAGCAGGCGCAUCUCUUGUUCAGCUUUAUACAGCUUUUGCAUAUGGUGGACCUGCACUUAUACCUCAAAUGAAGGCUGAACUUGCUCAAUGCUUGGAAAGAGAUGGUUACAAUUCUAUCUAUGAGGCUGUUGGCGCAGAUUGUAGAUAGUUUUCUUGUAACUUACCCAGUUACACAUGCCACAGAGAGUCAAGCUACCUCUUCCUGGAAGACCCUUGGUGCUUUUUAAUUCAAGGGGAGGAUAUUUGACAGCACGGUCAUCCUGAUUCGUAUAGAAGAGACCUUUAGCAGUGGCUAGAAUUUUGCUGCUGAGCGAGACAUCAAGAAGGCAUUUUCAUUUGUCAGAAUUCUUAUUAUACCGAUAAAACAGGAAAUCUUUCUUACAAACCAAAGUGAUUGCCAGCAUUGCUUUGACAAUUUUGAUUAGGUUCUAGUUACGUUUUCAAUGCUAAAGCAUUUUUUUUCCCACAGAUAGGGGCUGUUAGGCUUGUGUCGGGGGUUUUGAGUGUUUAUUUUUACUUUUAUUAUUAUUUUGGGACCUCUCCUUGGCAGCUGCUGUAAACCUUUAUUUAUUUUUAUUUUUAUUUUUUUUGGCUAUUUUGUAUUCUGGAAGAGAAUAAAAUGUUGUUCACCUUAUCUCAUUAAAAGUAAAUGGAUGAAAUCCUGUCUUUGAAGCU